AACGCGAAGAACCCUUCCUACCCUGACAUCCACGAACCUUGGAGAGAUCCUGGGGUGCCCGAAAGGGAACGGGGACACAGGUCUGCAUGGCUGUCGUCAGCUCGUGUCGUGAGAUGUGGGGUUAGGUCCCGCAACGAGCCAACCCCUGCCUUAGUUCCACGGCUUGGCCGGGCACUCUAAGGGACUGCCGGUGACAAACCGGAGGAAGGUGGGGAGACGUCAAGUCAUCAUGGCCCUUAGGGGGCUCACACGUCUACAAUGGCGGUACAGAGGGUUGCAAGCCGCGAGGCGGAGCCAAUCCCAGAAAGCGCGUCGUAGUCCGGAUUGCAGUCUGCAACUCGACUGCAUGAAGUCGGAAUCGCUAGUAAUCG
Molecule: ribosomal RNA, 371 nt
Filed under: uncultured Hydrogenophilus sp.
Lineage: Bacteria; Pseudomonadati; Pseudomonadota; Hydrogenophilia; Hydrogenophilales; Hydrogenophilaceae
Description: bacterial SSU rRNA
Rfam family: Bacterial small subunit ribosomal RNA
Source: RNAcentral